CUGCGGUGAUGACUUUCUUAGGACACCUUUGGAUUUCAACGUGAAAACAAAGCGUAAUUCCUGAGCAGC
RNAcentral lists this small nucleolar RNA (69 nucleotides) under Tauraco erythrolophus (red-crested turaco). RNAcentral describes it as "Small nucleolar RNA SNORD58". It matches the Rfam family "Small nucleolar RNA SNORD58". From Rfam's summary of the family: snoRNA U58 is found in introns 1, 3 and 6 of the ribosomal protein RPL17 gene in humans. U58 is a member of the C/D class of snoRNA which contain C (UGAUGA) and D (CUGA) box motifs. Lineage: Eukaryota; Metazoa; Chordata; Aves; Musophagiformes; Musophagidae. The record is from Rfam by way of RNAcentral.